AUGGCAGAUCUGAGUUUGGGAGUUCUAAUUGAUAUUGUUGAUGAGGAUUGGAUGAGAGACACUCUCCCUGAUGAUGAUCUUCCGCUGCCUCCUACACUGGUUGUUCGGACAGAUGAAACUGAGGACUCAAAUCAGGAGGCACAGCAAGUUAACGGGGAAGUUUGGCACGAGCUGGCCCUUGGCCAAGACUAG
Non-coding RNA from Vicia faba (fava bean), 192 nucleotides. Lineage: Eukaryota; Viridiplantae; Streptophyta; Magnoliopsida; Fabales; Fabaceae. The record is from the annotation of a GenBank genome assembly.